AUCAUGGCUCAGGAUGAACGCUGGCGGCAUGCCUAAUACACGCAAGUCGAACGAAGUCUUCAGGAAGCUUGCUUCCAAAAAGACUUAGUGGCGAACGGGUGAGUAACACGUAGGUAACCUGCCCAUGUGUCCGGGAUAACUGCUGGAAACGGUAGCUAAAACCGGAUAGGUAUACGGAGCGCAUGCUCUGUAUAUUAAAGCGCCCAUCAAAGGCGUGAACAUGGAUGGACCUGCGGCGCA
This 240-nucleotide ribosomal RNA is filed under the name uncultured bacterium. RNAcentral describes it as "partial 16S ribosomal RNA". It matches the Rfam family "Bacterial small subunit ribosomal RNA", at positions 16 to 240 of the family's 1533-position model. The record is from RNAcentral.